Penaeus vannamei (Pacific white shrimp) is the source of this 73-nucleotide non-coding RNA. The record is from the annotation of a RefSeq genome assembly. Lineage: Eukaryota; Metazoa; Arthropoda; Malacostraca; Decapoda; Penaeidae.
GCCGCGGUAGCCCAGUGGUUAGAGUACUGGCCUCGUAAGCAGAGGGACCCGGGUUCGAAUCCCGUCCGCGGCA